This 253-nucleotide ribosomal RNA is filed under the name uncultured bacterium. RNAcentral describes it as "partial 16S ribosomal RNA". It matches the Rfam family "Bacterial small subunit ribosomal RNA", at positions 524 to 776 of the family's 1533-position model. The record is from RNAcentral.
UACAGAGAGUGCAAGCGUUAAUCGGAAUUACUGGGCGUAAAGCGCGCGUAGGUGGAUAUUUAAGUCGGAUGUGAAAGCCCUUGGCUUAACCUAGGAAUUGCAUCCGAUACUGGGUAUCUAGAGUAUGGUAGAGGGUAGUGGAAUUUCCGGUGUAGCGGUGAAAUGCGUAGAUAUCGGAAAGAACAUCAGUGGCGAAGGCGGCUACCUGGACUAAUACUGACACUGAGGUGCGAAAGCGUGGGGAGCAAACAGG